AGAAAAACAGUGAUCAGGAGUAGUAAUGGUCAACACCCGAACCUUAAGAGAGUUGACGGCUGGUGGAAGUCAACCGGGUACAUCAUGAACUCGCCUUUGAGUUGCAAGCAUGAAGGAACAGUAAUGUUUGCCGUAUUCCGCGUUAAGGAUGAAUGAAGCGAGUGCAUGCAUGCACUAAUGUGGGUGGUACCGCGGGAAGAUACAUACAAUCCUCUCGUCCCUUUU
Molecule: non-coding RNA, 225 nt
Filed under: Neobacillus vireti
Lineage: Bacteria; Bacillati; Bacillota; Bacilli; Caryophanales; Bacillaceae
Description: Bacillus vireti T-box sequence
Rfam family: T-box leader
About the family: Uncharged tRNA acts as the effector for transcription antitermination of genes in the T-box leader family. T-boxes are found upstream of many aminoacyl-tRNA synthetase genes and some amino acid biosynthetic genes usually in Gram-positive bacteria.
Source: RNAcentral